GAUGAACGCUGGCGGCGUGCCUAAUACAUGCAAGUCGAGCGAACAGAUGAGGAGCUUGCUUCUCUGAUGUUAGCGGCGGACGGGUGAGUAACACGUGGGUAACCUACCUAUAAGACUGGGAUAACUCCGGGAAACCGGGGCCAAUACCGGAUAAUAUUUUGAACCGCAUGGUUCAAUAGUGAAAGACGGUUUCGGCUGUCACUUAUAGAUGGACCCGCGCCGUAUUAGCUAGUUGGUAAGGUAACGGCUUACCAAGGCGACGAUACGUAGCCGACCUGAGAGGGUGAUCGGCCACACUGGAACUGAGACACGGUCCAGACUCCUACGGGAGGCAGCAGUAGGGAAUCUUCCGCAAUGGGCGAAAGCCUGACGGAGCAACGCCGCGUGAGUGAUGAAGGUCUUCGGAUCGUAAAACUCUGUUGUUAGGGAAGAACAAAUUUGUUAGUAACUGAACAAGUCUUGACGGUACCUAACCAGAAAGCCACGGCUAACUACGUGCCAGCAGCCGCAGUAA
RNAcentral lists this ribosomal RNA (514 nucleotides) under uncultured bacterium. Its description in RNAcentral is "partial 16S ribosomal RNA". It matches the Rfam family "Bacterial small subunit ribosomal RNA", at positions 28 to 523 of the family's 1533-position model. The record is from RNAcentral.